GGGCCGGUCGUCUAGCCUGGUCAGGACGUCGCCCUUACACGGCGAAGGUCGGUGGUUCGAAUCCGCCCCGGCCCA
Molecule: transfer RNA, 75 nt
Filed under: Nitrososphaerota archaeon
Lineage: Archaea; Thermoproteati; Nitrososphaerota
Description: tRNA-Val
Rfam family: tRNA
About the family: Transfer RNA (tRNA) molecules are approximately 80 nucleotides in length.
Source: RNAcentral